Molecule: ribosomal RNA, 2304 nt
Filed under: Campylobacter jejuni
Lineage: Bacteria; Pseudomonadati; Campylobacterota; Epsilonproteobacteria; Campylobacterales; Campylobacteraceae
Description: partial 23S ribosomal RNA
Rfam family: Bacterial large subunit ribosomal RNA
Source: RNAcentral
AAAAAAGGUAAGCUACUAAGAGCGAAUGGUGGAUGCCUUGACUGGUAAAGGCGAUGAAGGACGUACUAGACUGCGAUAAGCUACGGGGAGCUGUCAAGAAGUUUUGAUCCGUAGAUUUCCGAAUGGGGCAACCCAAUGUAUAGAGAUAUACAUUACCUAUAUAGGAGCGAACGAGGGGAAUUGAAACAUCUUAGUACCCUCAGGAAAAGAAAUCAAUAGAGAUUGCGUCAGUAGCGGCGAGCGAAAGCGCAAGAGGGCAAACCCAGUGCUUGCACUGGGGGUUGUAGGACUGCAAUGUGCAAGAGGUAAGUUUAGCAGAACAUUCUGGAAAGUAUAACCAUAGAGGGUGAUAGUCCCGUAUGCGAAAAACAAACCUUAGCUAGCAGUAUCCUGAGUAGGGCGGGACACGAGGAAUCCUGUCUGAAUCCGGGUCGACCACGAUCCAACCCUAAAUACUAAUACCAGAUCGAUAGUGCACAAGUACCGUGAGGGAAAGGUGAAAAGAACUGAGGUGAUCAGAGUGAAAUAGAACCUGAAACCAUUUGCUUACAAUCAUUCAGAGCCCUAUGUAGCAAUACAGGGUGAUGGACUGCCUUUUGCAUAAUGAGCCUGCGAGUUGUGGUGUCUGGCAAGGUUAAGCAAACGCGAAGCCGUAGCGAAAGCGAGUCUGAAUAGGGCGCUUAGUCAGAUGCUGCAGACCCGAAACGAAGUGAUCUAUCCAUGAGCAAGUUGAAGCUAGUGUAAGAACUAGUGGAGGACUGAACCCAUAGGCGUUGAAAAGCCCCGGGAUGACUUGUGGAUAGGGGUGAAAGGCCAAUCAAACUUCGUGAUAGCUGGUUCUCUCCGAAAUAUAUUUAGGUAUAGCGUUGUGUCGUAAUAUAAGGGGGUAGAGCACUGAAUGGGCUAGGGCAUACACCAAUGUACCAAACCCUAUCAAACUCCGAAUACCUUAUAUGUAAUCACAGCAGUCAGGCGGCGAGUGAUAAAAUCCGUCGUCAAGAGGGAAACAACCCAGACUACCAGCUAAGGUCCCUAAAUCUUACUUAAGUGGAAAACGAUGUGAAGUUACUUAAACAACCAGGAGGUUGGCUUAGAAGCAGCCAUCCUUUAAAGAAAGCGUAAUAGCUCACUGGUCUAGUGAUUUUGCGCGGAAAAUAUAACGGGGCUAAAGUAAGUACCGAAGCUGUAGACUUGCACACAACUUAGAUUAUUUAAGUUUAGAAUAUGAGAAACUAAGUUAUAUGUUUAGUUAUAUUUUUACUGAUUUUUAUAGAGUAAAGAUAGAAAUAAAACUUAGUAAAAUCAGUAAAAAUAUUCUUAGACUAAAGUUAAGUAGUUUAAGUUGUGUGCAAGUGGUAGGAGAGCGUUCUAUUUGCGUCGAAGGUAUACCGGUAAGGAGUGCUGGAGCGAAUAGAAGUGAGCAUGCAGGCAUGAGUAGCGAUAAUUAAUGUGAGAAUCAUUAACGCCGUAAACCCAAGGUUUCCUACGCGAUGCUCGUCAUCGUAGGGUUAGUCGGGUCCUAAGUCGAGUCCGAAAGGGGUAGACGAUGGCAAAUUGGUUAAUAUUCCAAUACCAACAUUAGUGUGCGAUGGAAGGACGCUUAGGGCUAAGGGGGCUAGCGGAUGGAAGUGCUAGUCUAAGGUCGUAGGAGGUUAUACAGGCAAAUCCGUAUAACAAUACUCCGAGAACUGAAAGGCUUUUUGAAGUCUUCGGAUGGAUAGAAGAACCCCUGAUGCCGUCGAGCCAAGAAAAGUUUCUAAGUUUAGCUAAUGUUGCCCGUACCGUAAACCGACACAGGUGGGUGGGAUGAGUAUUCUAAGGCGCGUGGAAGAACUCUCUUUAAGGAACUCUGCAAAAUAGCACCGUAUCUUCGGUAUAAGGUGUGGUUAGCUUUGUAUUAGGAUUUACUCCGAAAGCAAGGAAACUUACAACAAAGAGUCCCUCCCGACUGUUUACCAAAAACACAGCACUCUGCUAACUCGUAAGAGGAUGUAUAGGGUGUGACGCCUGCCCGGUGCUCGAAGGUUAAUUGAUGGGGUUAGCAUUAGCGAAGCUCUUGAUCGAAGCCCGAGUAAACGGCGGCCGUAACUAUAACGGUCCUAAGGUAGCGAAAUUCCUUGUCGGUUAAAUACCGACCUGCAUGAAUGGCGUAACGAGAUGGGAGCUGUCUCAAAGAGGGAUCCAGUGAAAUUGUAGUGGAGGUGAAAAUUCCUCCUACCCGCGGCAAGACGGAAAGACCCCGUGGACCUUUACUACAGCUUGACACUGCUACUUGGAUAAGAAUGUGCAGGAUAGGUGGGAGGC